GGUUGUGUAGUGUAGUGGUUAUCACUCUGGAUUUUGACUUGUUCAAGUCACAUUCCUUCCAGUAACCCCGGUUCGAACCCGGGCACGACCU
Podospora anserina is the source of this 91-nucleotide transfer RNA. It matches the Rfam family "tRNA". From Rfam's summary of the family: Transfer RNA (tRNA) molecules are approximately 80 nucleotides in length. Their secondary structure includes four short double-helical elements and three loops (D, anti-codon, and T loops). NCBI's taxonomy places the organism in Eukaryota, Fungi, Ascomycota, Sordariomycetes, Sordariales, Podosporaceae. The record is from Rfam.